This 256-nucleotide ribosomal RNA is filed under the name uncultured bacterium. Its description in RNAcentral is "partial 16S ribosomal RNA". It matches the Rfam family "Bacterial small subunit ribosomal RNA", at positions 524 to 777 of the family's 1533-position model. The record is from RNAcentral.
UACGUAGGGUGCGAGCGUUGUCCGGAAUUAUUGGGCGUAAAGGGCUCGUAGGCGGCCAACUAAGUCAGACGUGAAAUCCCUCGGCUUAACCGGGGAACUGCGUCUGAUACUGGAUGGCUUGAGAUUGGGAGAGGGAUGCGGAAUUCCAGGUGUAGCGGUGAAAAUGCGUAGAUAUCUGGAGGAACACCGGUGGCGAAGGCGGCAUCCUGGACCAACACGUGACGCUGAGGAGCGAAAGCCAGGGGAGCAAACGGGG